Molecule: ribosomal RNA, 467 nt
Filed under: uncultured bacterium
Lineage: Bacteria
Description: partial 16S ribosomal RNA
Rfam family: Bacterial small subunit ribosomal RNA
Source: RNAcentral
GACGAACGCUGGCGGCGUGCUUAACACAUGCAAGUCGAACGGAAAGGCCCUGCUUUUGUGGGGUGCUCGAGUGGCGAACGGGUGAGUAACACGUGAGUAACCUGCCCUUGACUUUGGGAUAACUUCAGGAAACUGGGGCUAAUACCGGAUAGGAGCUCCUGCUGCAUGGUGGGGGUUGGAAAGUUUCGGCGGUUGGGGAUGGACUCGCGGCUUAUCAGCUUGUUGGUGGGGUGGGGGCUUCCCAAGGCUUGGACGGGUAGCCGGCCUGGAAGGGUGACAGGCACCAUGGGACUGAGGGAGGGCCCAGUGUGCUACGGGGGGCAACAGGGGGGAAUAUUGUCCAAUGGGCCGGAGCCUGAUGCAGCAACGCCGCGUGCGGGAUGACGGCCUUCGGGUUGUAAAACGCAUUCGCCUGUGACGAAGCGUGAGUGACGGUAAUGGGUAAAGAAGCACCGGCUAACUACGUG